UUUUUUUUUUUGUUGAAUUGGUUAUGGCUUGUUAAUGGGUACUCGUUAUUUUGAUUAAAGAUUUUUAGUGUGAAAGACAUAUCUUAGUUUUAGUUGGAGUUUUAGGGUUGAAUAGUUUGUGGACAAUGUUGAAUUGGGAUUUGGGUGAAUGGGUCUAUAAGAUUGGCAUUGUCUGAUGCCUGCUACUAUCCUUCUCUCCUGUUCUUCUGAACCAUGGAUAUCUCAAAUGUGGGCAGUUUUCAUUUGAACACCUAGAAAAUGUAUGAGAUGUAGGAGAAAUCCUUUGGUUUCAAAGGAAUGCAAUUCAGACACUCGCGCACUUAUGUGUGUGUGAAUGGAAAGUAUUGUGGUCUUUUCUUCAAUAAUGAUUGGAAUGUUCUAUUUUGUUUAUGAAGGAAAUUCUCUACCCCUCAUUCCUCACCACAAUUAGAUUCUGUGUUGCAUGUUCUUCAGUAUGCAUGUUGCCCACGAGUUUAUCUGAAGUUGUGAACAUGUCUAACCUCAAGUUCAAUGAAUCAUGCCUUGCAUGGAAAAUAUUGCUCAUAUUUAAGCAUAAUAUAAUUUAUCAGUAAAUCAAAGAGGUAAGCUUUUAAACUCAUAAUUAUAAUGAUAAUUUAAUCUAUUCUUUUAUUUGUGCCAAACUAACAAAUAUCUUGUGUGAAUUGAUUGGUUUGCUUAUACUUUCUUGAACAGCCUUUCAUAUACUUUAGGACCAACAACAGACAUGUGUACACCCUUCUAUCAAAACUAUUUUAAUUGCUCUGCUCUUUUUAGUUAGAACAGUAGAGCCAUAUGAAGAUAUCCUUCUUGUUGUGGAAAUCUGUUUGCAAGAUCAAGAUGUACAAAAUGUGUCACUUGGAAGUCCUGUUUGGUUCUAGUUCUAGGCCAUCCACAGUAUAAACACAAAGAAGAAGAUUAUGUUCUGAUGGAUAAUGGAUUAUGAGAAUUUAAUUGCAUAUUUAUCAAGCAGGAAAAAGAAAAUACUAUAUGAUGUCUUGCUAGCAAUUAAUUCUGAGUUCUGUCUUUCUGAAUCUUGGAUCUGUUCCAGCCAAAAUAACCACACCAGAAAAUGAGAUUUGCUAUUUUCUAAAGGCUCCAGGAGAGAGAAUCAUCAUUGAAAGCACAAUGACUAGUUUAAUUUGUGGAUGAACAGCUACAGCUUCAAAUCCAUGGUUAAAAAUUUGGUGAAUGCCAUUCUAAUGAUUCCCUUAUAGUGAAAUCCAGGGUUGGGCUCCUGAUAACACUAAUUAACCAUUUUCUGGUUCCAAUAUGAGGAACUCUAAAGGUGUAUCCAUUCCUAAGGAGUGUUUGUAUUAGAAGAUCAGUCCUAGUAUUAUUCAUUCCUGGCACAAUUAAUUUUUGUUAUGUUGUGAUCUUGAAGAGAGUGUGUGUGAUAAAUGUGAAGCUCUUUAGUACUUCCUAAAUCUUUGUAAGCCGGAACUUCUGCCUUUGCACUGCAGUUUCUUCCCUUUAACAUGAUAUAAUCCACUCUCAAAUUUUGGGCAAAUAUACUUGAAAUAGGAGAAAAUAAAAUGACAAAAUCUCUUGGGUUGUAGCUCAAAUGUUAAAGAAUGGGGCAAGAUUGGACUUAGGUUUAAUUCUUGCCAUUUUAAAGACAAAAAGACUGUGAAAGAUAGAAAAAGAACAGAGAGAUGCUAUUGAUUCAUAACUCUUUUGUGAUAGAUCUAUAAUUUUUGCAUCUGAUGUACAGAGACUGAAAUAAAAAAGAGGAUUAAGCAACAUGAUGGCAAAUAAGGUUAUCCAUUUCGCUAAGUACUAUUUUUGGAUGUAGUAAUCUUUGCCAAGUUCAUAUGUAUAUACAUAUAUAUUGAAACAUUCUGUAAAGAAUGUGAUCUUGAGUAAAGCAUAUUAUUAAGUUACUUAACAGGCUCAUUUGUCAGUCGAGUAGUAAAUAUUUUUAUAGCUAGACAUGAUAGUUGUUCAAUAAAAUAGUUAUUUUUUUAGAAACUUCAAUUUGAUGAGACUGUUCAGUAAUCCUGAUUCUGAAAUGAAGCACGUGAGAAAGUUAAAAGAUGAGUGAUGGUCCAUGGAGUUGAAUGAAACCAGGAUUUCAUCGUGUAAAGUUGAUGUGAAUUUGUGGCAGGACAGGAUUAUGGUAGUUCUUUGAUUGCAAUUAGCAAAGAGAUUGGAUUUCUUGCCAUCAUGAUAGAUUUUACAGAAUGGUGUGAGUUUAUUGACACCAAUGGAUAAUAGAUUUGUAGUUUAACUUGGUUAGAUAGAUGAACCAUAAUUCAUUGUAAUAGUAUCAUUUGAGGGUGAGGAACGACAUCUACAGAUAUCAGUAUCUGGUCUCUAACUCAGGAACCUGAAUAGUAGUUGGGACAACAUUCCAGUUUUUCAGAGGCUACUGGGGUGGGGCUAUUUGUGCAUAUACACCCAAAUAUGUGAGGUCUUAUUUGGUAGAUAAAUAUGUAACAACUUUUUGCACUCAAAUUACUACCUAAUAUAUAUAGACAAUAAAAAUGUUAAACAUACCCAUUCAUAUUAAUGAGUCCACAUUCAUGCAUUUGUUUCCCCUCUUAUUGCUGUAAAACUUUCUGAUCCUUUUUUCUUGCAUUAGUAAAGAGUCUGUGGAUGGGACUUGAAAUAAUAUUGCGAGAAAUUUGAGAGUUGGAGAAACAGCUUCAAUUUGUUAUUAGUGAUCUUUAUAAAUUAUACACCUAGUGUGCUUAAAUCUAAGAGAAAGCAAUUACAGGGAAAAAAAUAGAGCAAGAAUGAAAGUGUUUUGUGUGCAAAAUUUGGCUAUAGUGAUCUGGCCUUUGUCAUUUGUUGGACUAUGUGAGGUGGCAUAGGGAAUGAUGAUUGUGGAGGGUUUGGCCAAUAUGGGCCACAAUUGAAUUACCCUAUUCGGGAGAGGGCAUUUAAGUUACUAACUUCAAAAGCUGUUUAUGAUGCUCCUAAAUUAGAAAGGUAAAAGACCUAACCAACAGGAGAGAUAAAAAAAAAUCAUUAUUUCCAGGUGAAAUUGAAUUUUCCAGUAUUUGUUAAUGGUAAUUGAUCAAAACUUGAUGCAGAACUUAAAAAAAAUAAAAUAAAAUAAA
RNAcentral lists this unclassified non-coding RNA (3062 nucleotides) under Hevea brasiliensis (rubber tree). The record is from RNAcentral. Lineage: Eukaryota; Viridiplantae; Streptophyta; Magnoliopsida; Malpighiales; Euphorbiaceae.